GUUCGAUUCGAGCGCAGCGAGAAAGCGUUGCCGCAGGCAACGACCCGAAGGGUGAGGAGCGGAGCGACGAAUAAUCCUUCCCCCACCACCA
RNAcentral lists this small RNA (91 nucleotides) under Salmonella enterica. RNAcentral's name for it is "partial RtT sRNA". It matches the Rfam family "RtT RNA", at positions 41 to 130 of the family's 130-position model. From Rfam's summary of the family: This family represents a bacterial cis-regulatory element known as RtT RNA. The exact function of RtT is unknown although it is thought that it may be involved in changing the cellular response in relation to amino acid starvation. Lineage: Bacteria; Pseudomonadati; Pseudomonadota; Gammaproteobacteria; Enterobacterales; Enterobacteriaceae. RNAcentral also lists the same sequence under 2 other names. The record is from RNAcentral.